CGGCGGGGCUGGGCCUGCGCGGCCGCGGCGGGCAGCGGCACCCGCGCGGCGGGGCCGGGGAGGUGGAGGCGCGUGGCGCUGCUUAAAGGAUGCGGGGCUGAGGCGGGAAAAUGAAUCUGGAAGAAAAUUGGUGAAUCCAAUCCAGUGGACCUACAAGCACUCUGACAGGCUCAGAGAGCAGAGUCUGGACCAAAGAGCAAUUACCCCACCAAACGAUUUCAGUAUCAAUGGUGAAAAAGCAGCAAAGAGCAAAUACUACCCUUCAGUGAAAGACCACCAAGUGUACCUGGGGAACAGAGAGGUGAAGAAAUAGGUUAGAUGAGUGGGAGACCCUUCUGCCUUUAAAUAUCUGCUGUCUCUGGGUGAAGCACACGAUGGGCUUGGUGAGUCAGUGUGGGAUAGUCUGAAGAGUCUGUAAAGCGCUCUGUGAAGACAUGUUGUGUUCAAGACAGC
This 453-nucleotide long non-coding RNA is filed under the name Calidris pygmaea (Spoon-billed sandpiper). Its description in RNAcentral is "lncRNA (ENSCPGG00000014991.1)". The record is from RNAcentral. Lineage: Eukaryota; Metazoa; Chordata; Aves; Charadriiformes; Scolopacidae.